AAAUAUAGUUGACCUAUAGCAUAGAGUAUUAGAUAAAAAGACCAAAACUCAAAAACUUAACAUUGACCACUGAACCAUGAAAAUGAGGUCAAGGUCACAUGACAUCUGCCCGCUAGACAUGUACACCUUACAAUCAUUCCAUACAACAAAUAUAGUAGACCUAUUGCAUAUAGUAUGAGAAAAACAGACCAAAACACAAAAAUUUAACUUUAACCACUGAACCAUGAAAAUGAGGUCAAGGUCAGAUGACACCUGCCAGUUGGACAUGUACACCUUACAGUCCUUCCAUACACCGAAUAUACUAGCCCUAUUGCGUAUAGUAUCUGAGAUAUGGACUUGACCACCAAAACUUAACCUUGUUCACUGAUCCAUGAAAUGAGGUCGAGGUCAAGUGAAAACUGUCUGACAGACAUGAGGACCUUGCAAAGUACGCACAUAUGAAAUAUAGUUAUC
RNAcentral lists this long non-coding RNA (453 nucleotides) under Mytilus galloprovincialis (Mediterranean mussel). Lineage: Eukaryota; Metazoa; Mollusca; Bivalvia; Mytilida; Mytilidae. The record is from RNAcentral.